UGGGGAAUUUUGGACAAUGGGCGAAAGCCUGAUCCAGCAAUGCCGCGUGUGUGAAGAAGGCCUUCGGGUUGUAAAGCACUUUUGUCCGGAAAGAAAUCCUUGGCUCUAAUACAGUCGGGGGAUGACGGUACCGGAAGAAUAAGCACCGGCUAACUACGUGCCAGCAGCCGCGGUAAUACGUAGGGUGCAAGCGUUAAUCGGAAUUACUGGGCGUAAAGCGUGCGCAGGCGGUUUGCUAAGACCGAUGUGAAAUCCCCGGGCUCAACCUGGGAACUGCAUUGGUGACUGGCAGGCUAGAGUAUGGCAGAGGGGGGUAGAAUUCCACGUGUAGCAGUGAAAUGCGUAGAGAUGUGGAGGAAUACCGAUGGCGAAGGCAGCCCCCUGGGCCAAUACUGACGCUCAUGCACGAAAGCGUGGGGAGCAAACAGAUUAGAUACCCUGGUAGUCCACGCCCUAAACGAUGUCAACUAGUUGUUGGGGAUUCAUUUCCUUAGUAACGUAGCUAACGCGUGAAGUUGACCGCCUGGGGAGUACGGUCGCAAGAUUAAAACUUAAAGGAAUUGACGGGGUCAUAGCUGUUUCCU
Molecule: ribosomal RNA, 584 nt
Filed under: uncultured bacterium
Lineage: Bacteria
Description: partial 16S ribosomal RNA
Rfam family: Bacterial small subunit ribosomal RNA
Source: RNAcentral